Molecule: ribosomal RNA, 219 nt
Filed under: uncultured bacterium
Lineage: Bacteria
Description: partial 16S ribosomal RNA
Rfam family: Bacterial small subunit ribosomal RNA
Source: RNAcentral
UAUAUCGGAACGUACCCUUGAGUGGGGGAUAACGUAGCGAAAGUUACGCUAAUACCGCAUACGAUCUACGGAUGAAAGUGGGGGCUUCGCAAGAACCUCAUGCUCGUGGAGCGGCCGAUAUCUGAUUAGCUAGUUGGUAGGGUAAAAGCCUACCAAGGCAUCGAUCAGUAGCUGGUCUGAGAGGACGACCAGCCACACUGGAACUGAGACACGGUCCAG